RNAcentral lists this ribosomal RNA (1246 nucleotides) under Asclepios apicalis. Its description in RNAcentral is "16S ribosomal RNA". The stretch from base 821 to 1178 matches the Rfam family "Bacterial large subunit ribosomal RNA", at positions 2077 to 2643 of the family's 2925-position model. The record is from RNAcentral. Lineage: Eukaryota; Metazoa; Arthropoda; Insecta; Hemiptera; Gerridae.
UUAUUUUUAUUUUAAAUUCGAAUUUUUUUUUAUUUUAUUUUGAUAAAAAUAUUUUUUAUUUUAGUAUUUUAAAGAAUUAAUAUUUUUUAUUUAUUAGAACUGUGAAGGUUUUAUUUUCAUAUUAAUAAAGUAUCUUUAACUUAGAGUACCUUUUGCAUCAGGGUUUAUUAAAAUUAUAAAAUUAUUUUUUUUUCUCGAAAUCUUAAGAUUUAAUAUAUAAUGUUUUUUUUUGUGACAAAAAAAUUUAUAAUUUUAUAUUAGAGGUUAUAUGCUUUUCAUUUAAGAUGAUAUCUAGUUUUCUGAUAAUUGAAUAUAAUUCAUUUUUAAUAAAGCUUUAUUUAAUUUAAUUAUUGAAAGUUUAUUAAAUCAAGAUAGUAGGGGAUAAGCUCUACUAUUUAUUUAAAAAUUAUAUUUUUAAAGAUAAUUUAUAGGAUUAGAAAUUUUCAUUUUUAUUUUGUUAUAAUUAUUUUUCUUUUAAUAGGAUUUUUUGUUAUUUUAAUUUUUUAUCAGAAUCUCUUUAAAAUUUUUUAAAAAAAUUAAUAAUGAUAAAAUUAGUAAUUUUGUUAAUUUAUUUAUAGUAACUCGGCAAUUUUUAUUUCCACCUGUUUAACAAAAACAUGUUCUUUUGUUUUUAAUAUAAGAUUGGACCUGCCCAUUGAUUUAAAAUAUUAAAAGGCUGCGGUAUUUUAACUGUACGAAGGUAGCAUAAUCAUUUGUCUCUUAAUUGGAGGCUGGUAUGAAUGGUUUGAUGAGAAAUAAACUUUCUUUAAAUGAUUUAUUUGAAUUUAAUUUUUUAGUUAAAAAGCUGAAAUUUUUUUAUAGGACGAGAAGACCCUAUAGAGGUUUACUAUUUAUAUUAAUUGUUUUUUUUAGUUAAUAAAAUUAUUAUUAAGAAUAAAUAGUUUUGUUGGGGUGACAAUGGAAUUUUAUUAACUUUCAUUAUUCAUUUUCAUAAAUUAAUGUUUUUUUGAUCCGGAAUUUUCGAUUAUAAGAUUAACCUACCUUAGGGAUAACAGCGUAAUUUUUUUGGAGAGUUCAUAUCGAUAAAAAAGUUUGCGACCUCGAUGUUGAAUUAAGAUAAAUGACGGGGGUAGAUUUUCGUUUUUUUGGUCUGUUCGACCAUUAAAUUCUUACAUGAUUUGAGUUCAGACCGGCGUGAGCCAGGUCGGUUUCUAUCCUUAUUUUUAGUGAAUUAGUACGAAAGGACCAUUUACUAUAAUUAUAUUAUUGUUUUUGAUUAGAAUUA